Molecule: long non-coding RNA, 3281 nt
Organism: Triticum aestivum (bread wheat)
Lineage: Eukaryota; Viridiplantae; Streptophyta; Magnoliopsida; Poales; Poaceae
Exons: 2
Source: RefSeq, a predicted model, not a curated record
UAUCCCUCGUCGCGAACGCAUCCACCCCCUCGUCUCUUAUCCAUCCGCCCCACCACUCUCUCUCCCUCUCCCUCUUCCUCCCCCACCACUCAUGGCGUCGUUGCCGGCGGCGAGGCCAGGCAGCAGGCGGCCGUGGAUCUGGGAACAAGGGCGCUGCGCCCUGCCGUAGCUGCCCUGCGUCGCGGCACACAUGGAGGUUCUCCGCCCGUAUCGGCCGCGCUAGCAGGAACACCAGGGGCCGGCCGGCCACGCAUAGAUGGGCACCCCGCGUCGCGGCUGCCCCCGUGGCGCUGCCCAUGGUGUUGCUCCGUCCGCCCGCAUCGGCCCCGCAAGCAGGAGCAUCAGGGGCCACCCCGGCCCCGCGUCGUGGCUGCCCCCGUCGCCUCGAGCCUUAAGGACGGCGGCCCAUGUUGGAGGGGAGCCAGCGGCUAUGGAGGACGUCGAGCGGUGGUGGAAGCCGCUCCAGCUUCCGCGUCGCGGCCUCCCAUCCUAUCCUGUGCUGGCAGGUCGCAGGCAGGGCUGAGCUCCCUCGAGGAGAUGCGCCGUUGACAAGAACCGCCACCACGCCGGCGAGAGGGGUCUCGCCCUCCACUGGAUCCCGCUGCUGGGAGGAGUCGCGGUAGAGGUGCUGCUCCUAGGGGGAGCGACGGCCUGCCUCCCAUGAAUUUGCCAGAGAGGUAGGCGGAGGCACCGUCCUUAUCUACGGCAGGCAGGGGCGCCACAAUGGCUCCGGCCACAAGCCGGAGGUGAGGGCUUGCGCAACCUCUGAAUUCUGUGCAUUUUCUUUGUCUUCAAGGCUGACUUUUUGCCCUGCUGAUCGAGUUAUUGGUUAAUUAAGUAACAGUAUACAUUUCAUGUUUCAUUGAUUUUGCUAGCCUCCUCACUGAAUGAUGCACGGAUAUAUAUAUGAUGCAAAUGUGUGAGAUUCUACAUGGCAAUUUUAGUGUGGACGAUGGCAAUUUAGAUAGUUGAAAUUUCAGUAUGCAGUCAAGAUAGUUCAUUUUCACAUGGCCAUUUUUUAUGUUCACUUUGUGUGCAAGCUGUGGAAGAUGAAUCCCUUCAUGGUUUUUAUGUAUCAUGGCAAUUUAAGUUCACGGAAGAGCAGCUUUUUUCAGUCUUAGAGUAGUGAGGGCAUAUAUCUUUGAAGAUCAUCUCACAUGCAGUGCCUUGACAAGCACACAGAACAUCAUGGUAGUUACACCAUGGCAGCUUUCUUACUUAGAUGGCAUUUUCUUUAUGGACGGGGUUGGCAAAUAUUGGAGGGGUGAGGUGGUAGUUUUAGUGUGGGCAACACGACAUUUUCUGGACAUGGCAAUUUUUGUUUUGGUUCAUAAGCAAAUUCAUGUUUGUUUUAGUGUCACCACUACUACUUUUGCCAUGCCACCUUAUUUUACCAUGGAAAAUUUGCUAAGCUUUUUGCCAUUGCAAAAAAGUUUAGCACUGUUUGUGCAAUGCCAAUUUGUUUUUCAGUUAUUUGCCAUGUCUCUAUUAUAGCUUUUGCCAUGUCGGCACUAUAACUUUUUUGCCAUGCCAUAAACACAUUAUAUGGCAACUUUAGUUUACUAUCCAAAACUGGAUGAAAAUUCAUUUUUUGUUUGUUUUUUCAUCAAAUUUUACUUUAUAUCCAUGGCAAUUUUGCCUUUGAUUUUGUUAUGGCAAUUCUACCUUUUGUUUUCAUGGCAAAUUUACCUAAAUCCCCAUGGCAAUAUUUUAAAUUUUAUUGUCAUGGCAAGUUUUUACUAUUUAUUUGCCAUGCCAAAAUUCAACAUUUAAAUUUUAUUGCCAAGGCAAGUUUUACUAUUUAUUUGCCAUGGAAAAUUUACUUUUAUUAACAUGGCAAAUUUGCCUAAAUCCCUAUGGAAACAUUUAAAUUUUAUUGUCAUGGUAAGUUUUACUAUUUAGUUGUCAUGGAAAAUUUACCUUUAUUAACAUGGCAAAUUUAAUUAAAUCCCAAUGGCAAUAUUUAAAUUUUAUUGCCAUGGCAAGUUCUACAAUUUAUUUGCCAUGGCAAAUUUAACUUUAUUAACAUAGAAAAUUUACCUAAAUCCCCAUGGCACUAUUUAACUUUUAUUGCCAUGGCAAGUUUUACUAUUUAUUUGCCAUGGCAAAUUUACCUAAAUUCCCAUGCCAAUAUUUAAGUUUUAUUGCCAUGGCAAGAUUUACUAUUUAUUUCUCAUGGUAAAUUUACCUUUAUUAACAUGGCAAAUGUAUCUAAAUCAUUACGGUAAUAUAUGUAAAUUUAGUUAAAAACACCAUGAAUUUUUUUGUUAUGAAUCUGCCAUGGCAAAUUAUUUUUGUUUGUGUGAUGAAAAUUGCCAUUUCUUACUUUAAUCUUUGGGGUUAUUGUUAAAAUAUUUGUGUUUUACCCAUGGAAAAUUUCUGCGUUUGAAAGUUGAUGCAUAUUUUUAAUUAACAAAGCAAAAAAGUGGGAAUUUUUUUUCACAGGAAAAAAAUCUGGGCCUUUUCUUCAUUUUUUACUACUGGGGUUUUUGUUUUCAAUUCUGGGCUGUUAGGGGCUGGGGAGGCGUUCGCAUUGGAGGACUUCUCCUCCCGAACGAAAUCGUUCGUGGGGGGCGGGGUAUCGUACCGAACGGCACGUUCGGUCUGGGAUGUCCCCAGACCGAACGGUCGGGAGUUAUCGAGGUCCAAAGAAAAAGGCAAGUAGGCAAUUAGUAAUUUUUACGAAACGAAAUUAGCUCAAGUUGAUUAGCCCCACAUUGAUGUACGCACGCAAUUAUGGUGUAACUCUUGAGAUGUGAGAUUGCAUCCCUAAUCCAUUCAUCCACUACCCUAUUCUCUGUUCCCCCGACCCAACCUCAGAUCACAAGUCGCAGGCCGCGAGUAGCUGGACGCGGCCAUGCAUUACUCACACGCACAUCGCCAGGCCAUGGCAAUUGGCAGCGCCGAGUGUGUCUGUUAUCCACUUUCCAGGCGUUGGGAGUAUUAUCGCCGAGUGCCUCCCGCCUGACGUCCACACCGUUGCUGAGCGCCUACUCACGGACGCCAAUGCAAUUAGUCUGAGGUGACACAUGCUGACUUGAAAACGCUAACGAGAAGGUCAUGUUCAAGAAAGAUGGCAUACUACAGGGGCCUUUAAUGUGAGACUGUUUAGACCUCACACUCGUGACCGCACUUUAGUGUAACUAGCACAUAUGUCCGUGCGUUGCAAUGGGAGAUAAAAUUGUAUGUAUUUAAAGUCACUGAAAAUUAUAUGUACAAGCAAAACCUGAUGUGCACACGAAAAAAGAACAUCGUGUGAAGGAAUCAAUCCGAUAUUUUUA